AAUCAACGCUGGCGGCGUGCCUAACACAUGCAAGUCGAACGCGAAAGCCCCUUCGGGGGGUAAGUAGAGUGGCGUCCGGGUGAGUAACACGUAGGUAAUCUACCUUCGGGUGGGGAAUAACCAGUCGAAAGAUUGGCUAAAUACCGCAUAAUGCAGCGGCACCUAAUGGUGAUUAGUUGUUAAAGCGGGGGAUCGUAAGACCUCGCGCCUGAAGAGGAGCCUGCGGCAGAUUAGCUAGUUGGNGAGGUAAUGGCUCACCAAGGCUUCGAUCUGUAGCUGGUCUGAGAGGACGGCCAGCCACACUGGCACUGACACACGGGCCAGACUCCGUACGGGAGGCAGCA
Molecule: ribosomal RNA, 344 nt
Filed under: uncultured bacterium
Lineage: Bacteria
Description: bacterial SSU rRNA
Rfam family: Bacterial small subunit ribosomal RNA
Source: RNAcentral